This 64-nucleotide transfer RNA is filed under the name Themus regalis. Its description in RNAcentral is "tRNA-Tyr". Lineage: Eukaryota; Metazoa; Arthropoda; Insecta; Coleoptera; Cantharidae. The record is from RNAcentral.
AGUGAAAUGGCUGAAUUUAGGCGAUAAAUUGUAAAUUUAUUUAUGAAAGGACUUUCUUUCACUA